UGGUGAUACCAGUCCACCAGUGGCAGAAAUAAUAACAUAAACGUAACACUGCUGCAGAGUACUGGAUGUGUCAGCCCUGGGAAAUGGAGGGAGGGGCAAAAUUCAAAGCCUCUUUGUCAAGCUAGAUAAUUGUCAAGUAAAAUAGAAAUGAUUCAAGCAAAUACAGUCUUCUUUACUUCUUUUCUAAGCAGUAGAUAAAAUGUCUUGAUCUAGAAAAUAUUCUCAUAAAUAUUUGUAAUUGUCCACAAGUUGCUGCUUCUUGCCUGUCUGCAGUAAUAAUCACUAUAUAAACCCCCAAACUGCAAAUUUAGCUGCACUAAGUGCUGUUGAGCUGAACUAUGAGAAAAAGUGGGGUUUUUUUCCUUGCUGGAACUUCACUGAUUUCACUGCACAGGCAAAAAGUGCAAUAAAAGGCAACAACUGCAUAGUGAUGCUACUUCUGCUAUGUGGUGUCCAAAUCCUUGUCUUGCACUAUGGCAUUAGGAGGUGAACAACCUUUCUGUGUUAAAUUUCUGGUGUUAAAUAUCUUCAGUUUUCUCUUCCUGCAUUUGAUAAAAUGCUCAUGUUUUGUGUUCUGCAUGGCAUAAACUGAAGUGUGAAUGUGGAAAAUUCCUGUACUUUCCUGGGGUUUUCUUUUUGUAGUUUAAAUAACUUUUUAAUAAUGAUGCCUUGUCAAAUUUGCCAGCCUCACUGUGAGAUUAGACAGUGGGAUGAUGGGUUUAGUCCACAAGUCAUUCUUCUGUUUUCUGUAUGAGGAGUGGGGAAAAAAGACUAAAAUUCUUUCCUUUUAUUGCUAGUGGCUGGAGUGAUUGGUUGGAGCAGAAGUAAUAAAUCAAUUAGGAAACAGCAUCCCUUUCAAUCUGAAGCUGUGCACAUCAGCUUUGUAUCCAGGCUUUUAUAUAUUGUACAGCAAUCUGUUGUGUCUGCAGCAAGUGAAAGCUCCAAAAAUCAAUGCACUAAGACCUGAGGGAGGAUAGCCUGACAUUUGUAUUAAUCAAGGCUGUCUGAGUAGUUGGACAACACUAACAAGCUCCCUAAAGCUCUGCUUCGACUGGGUUGUGUUGAAACUGAGGACGCUUUCUGAGUGACAGCCUCCUGCACUCGUGAAUUUAUAGGGAAAUGUCCCCCAGCACUUGGAGUUAUUGUUACCCGCUCACCUCCCUUCAGCUGCACCCCCAGCCCCGUUAUCAGGACAGUGGUGCGUUUUGGAGCCAGACGGGCGAUACGGGAGGUGCCUGUGCUGGCUGUGAUAAGGUGGUGCCAGCACUGAUUCCUGCUGUCACUGCGGCGUGUGCUGGGAGGGAGCGCUCACAGCAGGGGCUGAGCUGCGCCUCCUGAUGUGCUCGGUGCUGGUCAGCCACUGCAGAGUCACAGCCCAGCCCCUGAGGAGAGUGCUAACUUCAUAUCCCUUCAUUCAAAGUUAUUUUUACAGUCCUUUGCCUCAUUCUGUGACUGGUUGUUUUUGUUUUUUUUUUUCCCUUGGGUCACCUUGAUCUAAUUAUUCUCCAGGAAAUGAGAGCCAAUAAAAGAAAGCCUUUUGCUAUGAGUACACGUGUAUUUUAAAAUGUAGAUAUUAAAUAAGUUCCCUAAGCAGAAAUAAAAUCCAGUCCAGCUUAUGCAACCAAUACCACAAUUGGAGUGGCUGUUUCCACCCUUAAAUGUACUGAUGGUGUUUAAAUUAUACUUGCCACAGGUACCCUAGUGUAAAAGAUACCUAAUAACCAGGGUGAGAAGAAAAGGAAAGGCUGCUAAGGAAGAGGAAUCUCUGCUGCUGAAGUGUACAGAAAGCAAUGAAAUCCAUCUCUUGUGGGAAUGUGACAAGCUACAACAGCAUGGGUUGAAAAUACGAUAGAGAAAGCAAAACAUCCCUAACAGCGAGAGCCACUUACACAGCCACAGAAGCUCACAGCAGCUUGGAGAGUUGUGUCACAGAGUUUUCCUGGCCCUAGGAGAGACUCCGACCAAAACAGAGAUACAGAAUAAGGUGAGAGGUCUGUGUUCGUGUGUGGGAUAGACACCCAAAGGGGAGGAUAGAGACUGUUGCUUCUUACUUAUUGUUACAGUUUCCACUAAUUUGUCCUUUCUCUUCUUUCCUUCCUGUCCAAUGUGUGCUGGCACAGCUGGCCCAACAAAUGUUUGUGGUACCUGCUGUGAAUGGCUCAGCAGUUCAGACUCAAGGUGGGGUGUCCUCAUUUUUCCCUUUCUUGAACUGGGAGCUGUUCAGAAUGAGAGAUGUGCUUCUGUAUUGCCUCUCUUUUCAUAUCUUUCUUAUUUCUGUUGUCUUUUUUUUUUUUUUUUUUUUUUUUUUUGGUUUGGUUUUGUUUUUUUUUAGUAGGAGCUGUUAUAUUUGUGAAGAACUUUAGCACAUGAAGCAUGCCAGCCCUAGGAAAGCAAAGCACCGUGCUCUGAAAGCACAGAAAUACUUUUGAGAAAUUUCCAUCUGGAGAGAGACUGUAAUAGAAAAACAGCAAAAACGCCCUUGCUACAAUGAGGAGAAUUCCUAUCAAUGCAGUGACUGAAUAAAUAUACAAGGUAAGAAGAUACCAGUUUUAGAGAGCCACUUAAACAUAUGGUGGCCAUUAUCCCACGGCAGCUCUGCCUUCAAGGAUCAGCAUCCAGGCUGGUCAGUGGCACAGGCAGCUCUGCCACAGCUCUGUGCCCAGGCAUACAGGGGUGCAGGUACUGCUCUCACACAGCCAGUGCCACAGCUGGACAUUGGGUCCUAUAGAUGCUGUAAAGUGCUGCACAGGCAGUUUGCAGCUCAGAGUGCUAAAAAUUAUGUGGAAAAUGCACUUCACCUGUUUCGGACAACUAGCAAAAGUGUUUUUAACUCUCAUUUUCUCUGCUCUAAGAGACAGUUUUUCAGGACCAGCGAAACAGCAGGUGAGUUCUUAAAAUUCCCAAAAUGAAACGUAUUUGCUUUCCUGAGGUCAUGCAUUUGGCUGGAAAAUGGCAAUGAACUUUUCUACUGACCCUAAAGCCUCAGAAAACUGUACCUGGUAGUAGUAGCACAGACAGACUUGUAGAAAAAAAAAUAAAGUUUAAGCAAAUUAUAGAGAUCUGUAGACUAUGUGAUCAUUACUGAAUACAUGUAGGCUUUAAAAAUCUUCUCCCACUCCAGGACCUAUAUGUUAUUUCAAUUAUAUCUAAAAGCUGCACAAACGCUAAGUUUGAUGGGAUGGGAUGUGUUUGGUGUCCUACAAAAUCUGGAAUGGGCUCGUUUUAUGUUGAAGUAGAUUGAACUAAUGUAAUGAGGUUGCUAGACAUGGGAAAUCGAGUGAAGAAGUUGCAGAGAAGAAAAGACUGUUGCUAUAUUUAUGUGUUUCCACAUACUUUGGUUCUGGAUUUUUGUGUGCUUUUAAAUUUAAAUCAUAGGGAUAUUACCUGAUCAGCUUUUGAAGACAGUGAAAAAAAACCCACCCCAAACUCCACUAAUUAGUCUAUUGCUAAAUAGGAUCUAAAGCACUUUGCAAAGUGCCAAAUGUUUAAAGUUUCACAAAAGCAUAAUGAGGUGCACUAUUAUCUCUGCUGUUAUCCGGGCAAGUUGAGACAAAUCCUGAGCUUGAAUAUAUAAAGUACCUGUUACAGAUAAUCUCUGCAGGGGAUCUGGUGCUGGUAUUUUGUUAUGAUCAAGACUCCUAACUUGGAGUACAGAUUAGAUUAGAUAGUCUGCUUUUAACCUCUCUUCUCAUAGUCUGGUUUUGCUAUUGAAAGAGAAGCACCUUACUGAGUAUCAGUGAACCAUCAACUCAGAGGAUGGGGCUGGGAAAGUAUUUUGCUUGCCACGUAUAAAAGAACCAAGAAGCUGCUUUUCUUAUUAUGAAAAUGUGUGUCUAACCCAGAUUUAAGGAAAAUGAUCUUGUAGGAAGACCUCUGUGAAUGCAGGCAUUUCACAGCUGCUGUGCUGUCACUUGUGGCUGCCAGAUAUCCAAAGACAGGUCACUGGCAGGAGCUCAUGGUUCUAAUUCCUUCCCCAGGCAACCCCCUUCCCUCCCCGUGCCCCAUUGCUGCUGGGGUGUCUUGAGUUCAUGGGUGCUGUGGGGGACACGGGCUGAGUAUACGG
Prinia subflava (tawny-flanked prinia) is the source of this 4063-nucleotide long non-coding RNA. RefSeq lists it as uncharacterized. Lineage: Eukaryota; Metazoa; Chordata; Aves; Passeriformes; Cisticolidae. The record is from RefSeq and is a predicted model, not a curated record. The transcript is spliced from 3 exons.